Molecule: long non-coding RNA, 3426 nt
Filed under: Triticum aestivum (bread wheat)
Lineage: Eukaryota; Viridiplantae; Streptophyta; Magnoliopsida; Poales; Poaceae
Description: long non-coding RNA (TAES_LNC011771)
Source: RNAcentral
AAACACAAAUAAAAGAAUAGAAGCUUUAUAUUACAAGCCAGGGCCCUCGAGGGCUCGAAUACAUAGCUCGAUACACAAGAGUCAGCGGAAGCAACAAUAUCUUAUUACAGACAUAAGUUAAACAAGGAUGCCUUAAGAAGGCAAACACAAAAGCAACAACGAUCGAAGAGGCAAGGCCUCCUGCCUGAGACCUCCUAACUACUCCUGGUUGUUGGCGGUCUCCAUGUAGUAGUAUCUGUCGGCGGUGGCAUCUGGCUCCAGGGAUCCAUCAUCUGGUUGCAUCAACCGGAAAUAAGAAAGAAGGGGGAAAGGGGGUAGCAAAGCAACCGUGAGUACUCAUCCAAAGUACUCGCAAGCAUCAGGUCUAUACUAAGUAUGCAUUGGUAUCAAAGGAAGGUAUGUAUCUGUGGACUGAACUACAGAAUGCCGGAAUAGAGGGGGAAGGCCUAGCCUAUCGAAGACUAGCAUCUUCAAGUAGCACCAAUCAUCUUGUAGCAUGUAGAAGAGUAAAGAAUAGCAUUUUAAUAAAUAACAAACAUGUUGUAGAAACAACGCCCAGAGAUCCUUCCUCGACUCCCUGCGAGAAAGCAAUCUCGGAGCCACAUAUCCAUCACAUAUCUCAAGUAUCCAUUUCUAGUUGUAUAAGAUCAGGAUACAAGUCCGAACGUCCAUUACCUUGGACAUGGUAUUCGAAUAUAUAUCUUCCCUGCAGGGGUGCACCAUGUUACCCAACACGCUUGAUUACUCUGGCCAAACACACUUUACUGGGUCAAUUCCCGGCCUCGGAAGAUCAACACGUCGCAACCCUACCUAAGCUCAGCAGACAAGUCCCCGGCGGUCUACAUCCUAAGCACUCCGGGGUCUUGGGCCCAUCGCCCGCAGGACUCUGGGUCGUUGCGAGCAGGGUGGAUACCAGCACCGCCUCGGAUGGCCAGCACGAUCCGACCGUGCCGCACUGCUGAACUGGACGUUUGACAAAGCUUCGGCUGAUACUGCGACGUCGAGGCCCAUAACUAUUCUCGCAUGGUGGUUAGUGCGUAAAGGCCAGAGGCCAACUCAGAACAAAUGCCCAAAUAUGUUAGUGCAUUGGGGGCUCGCGGAAACGAGCAGAGACUCAUGAUAAUGUGACCCCGUCGCCUUGUCUCGUGGACUUACGGCAAGUGCCCGGACUGCCCGGCCGUGCCACGUGGAAAACUCGCGGGUGCUCUCUGGGCCCGCCCGACUUUCACAUCAACUCGUGCGUACCCCUCAGGGCCAACCCGACUCCAUCAAUGGUCUCAAGUAAAGUCAAGGUAACCGUGUGUCCAAAACAUCAAGGGGAAAACCCGAGGAAUCACCCUCGAUGGAUUCCACUCAAUGUAAUCAUCAAGGUGAACGUAAGAGGAACCACCCUCGAGGUUCGCACUUGAGGGGUUGCACGACAUAGUCGUAUCGGGAGUGGUCAAGGAGGAAUCACCCUCGAUGAUCACGACCGAAUAGCUACACUACAAAAUUAUCAUCAGGAGUGCGUUACGAGGUAUCACCCUCGGCACUCGAUAGUAGCUUUGCAGAGUCGGGCAACAAAGGAGGUAUGAUGUGAUGUGAGGUGUCGGGCUCUGGUCAUCGAUCACGUUGAUCAAGACUUCGAUGAUGAAGCAGGGGCAACAAGGACAAGGUGGGGGGCACUGAUGGAUCACUAACCAACCUAUACUAAGAAGUUUAGGAUAAGCAAGUAAGGUGCAACAACAGGUACAAAAGCAGGCUAUGCAUCAGAAUAGGAGCAAUCAAUUACAAUAGCAAAAUCUAAUGCAAGCAUGAGAGUAUGGAAUAGGCGAUAUCGGGAUGAUCAAAGGGGGGGGGGGCUUCCAUGGAAGCUCCGCUGAAAGGGGAAGAAGGGUCGUCGGUGACGUAGUCGAUCACAAGGGCAUCAGCUGCGGUCUCGGGGUCUACCGCAGAGAAGAGGGGGAAGAAACAGUUAAUACAGAGCAAACAGGAGCAAUACUAAGCAUGACAAGACAAAAAGCAGUGCUAGGGGUGUUCUAAUGCAGUGUUACAUGAUACCGGUGAAGGGGAAAAACAUCCGGGAAAGUAUCCCUGGUGUUAGGCAUUUUCGGGCAGACGAACUGGAGGGGGAAGGUUGCAUGUUCGCUAUGCUAGGGAUGUGUGGCAGACGAACAGACUGCGUAUUCGGAUUCUUCUCGUCGUUCUGAGCAACUUUCAUGUAGAAAACUUUUCAUCCGAUUACAGAUUAUUUUAAAUUAAACUUCUAAGUUUAAAACAUUUUUCUGAAUUUCUGGAUUUAUUAUAAUUCAAAAAUAAAAAUAGGAUAUACUUAUUAUACCUACUGUGGGGUAGCCAUAGUGGAUGAUAGGUGGGACCAAGGGGUGGGGUCCAGUUGACUCAGUCAAUCAACUGUUGACUGUUGACUGGUCAAAACUGCAGCUGGGGCCCAUGUGUCAUUCUCACAUAUUUAACAUUUUCUUUUUAAGUGGAUAUAGACUAGUAUUUUAAUAGGAUUAUUUAACUAGUCAAAUUAGCAAUGGGGACCCACAUGUCAUCUGGACAUAGACUAAUCUAGCCACUAAUUAAUCCCUAACCUAAGCUAACCAGGACCGGCCAGACUGGUAGCAGCAAAAAGCAAUCGGUAGCAGGCAAUGGUAGCCGGACCAAACAAGCAGCAGCGGCGUUGCAAAAAAGAAGCAGAAGCAACAAGCAAUAGCCACGACAGUCUAGCAGCAGAAGGAAGCAUCGGAGCAGCGCUAGUAGCAAGGAGCAGUACUAGCGGCAAGAGCAGCAGUAGAGAGCAGCGGCAACAGGUGAGGGCGCACGGCUGGGAGGCGGGAGCAGCAGCCAAAGCAGCGCAACAGCAGGAGCAGCGAGCAGAGUAGUGAAGCAGCAAGCAGGCGCAGCGGUUAGCAAGCAGCAGCAAGCCGCGGCGAGGCUACGCGCAGGCGCACGUGCACAGCAACGGCACCAACAGCGCAGGAGCGGCAGCCGCACCCACGCGUACGCAGGGGUUCAUGCACGACGGUGAUGGCGACCUACGGCGUCCAAAUCAAAGGGGGAAAAGGGGGGAUCGGCGGAGGGCCUCACUGUGAGCGCGACGGCGUGGUCGGGGAGGUUGUGGUGGUGUAGAUCGACAUCGACGACGACGAGGCAGUGGCAAGACCGAACGAGGAGAAGCACUCGAUCCCGACGGUGUGGUGGAUCCCGGCUCGUACGCGUGGUCGGGGAUGAAGCAGCGGAUGUCGGGGGUUCUCAGGGACUCGGCGGUGCGGCGCGGGGCAGCCGAUGGCCAUGGCAACAGCGACGGUAGCGAGCGACUGCGCGAUGCGAGGAAGAGAACGAGCGAGGGGAGGGGAAAGUGGGCGCUAGGGUUUGCCUAUGCGUUUGGGGAUGGUCUUAUCCUCCUCCUGGCGUCAUUGUAGCGCCAGACGUCGAGCAUCG